This 88-nucleotide transfer RNA is filed under the name Acidimicrobiia bacterium. RNAcentral describes it as "tRNA-Ser". It matches the Rfam family "tRNA". Rfam says of the family: Transfer RNA (tRNA) molecules are approximately 80 nucleotides in length. The record is from RNAcentral. Lineage: Bacteria; Bacillati; Actinomycetota; Acidimicrobiia.
GGAGGAAUGCGAGAGCGGCCGAAUCGGCACGCUUGGAAAGCGUGUGAGGGGCAACCCUCCCAGGGUUCGAAUCCCUGUUCCUCCGCCA